AGUGAACGCUGGCGGUAGGCCUAACACAUGCAAGUCGAACGGCAGCACAGUAAGAGCUUGCUCUUACGGGUGGCGAGUGGCGGACGGGUGAGGAAUACAUCGGAAUCUACUUUUUCGUGGGGGAUAACGUAGGGAAACUUACGCUAAUACCGCAUACGACCUACGGGUGAAAGCAGGGGAUCUUCGGACCUUGCGCGAUUGAAUGAGCCGAUGUCGGAUUAGCUAGUUGGCGGGGUAAAGGCCCACCAAGGCGACGAUCCGUAGCUGGUCUGAGAGGAUGAUAGGCCACACUGGAACUGAGAAACGGUCCAGACUCCUACGGGAGGCAGCAGUGGGGAAUAUUGGACAAUGGGCGCAAGCCUGAUCCAGCCAUACCGCGUGGGUGAAGAAGGCCUUCGGGUGGUAAAGCCCUUUUGUUGGGAAAGAAAAGCAGCAGGUUAAUACCCCGCUGUUCUGACGGUACCCAAAGAAUAAGCACCGGCUAACUUCGU
RNAcentral lists this ribosomal RNA (491 nucleotides) under uncultured bacterium. Its description in RNAcentral is "partial 16S ribosomal RNA". It matches the Rfam family "Bacterial small subunit ribosomal RNA", at positions 29 to 506 of the family's 1533-position model. The record is from RNAcentral.